GCAAGUCGAGCGAACGGACGAGAAGCUUGCUUCUCUGAUGUUAGCGGCGGACGGGUGAGUAACACGUGGAUAACCUACCUAUAAGACUGGGAUAACUUCGGGAAACCGGAGCUAAUACCGGAUAAUAUUUUGAACCGCAUGGUUCAAAAGUGAAAGACGGUCUUGCUGUCACUUAUAGAUGGAUCUGCGCUGCAUUAGCUAGUUGGUAAGGUAACGGCUUACCAAGGCAACGAUGCAUAGCCGACCUGAGAGGGUGAUCGGCCACACUGGAACUGAGACACGGUCCAGACUCCUACGGGAGGCAGCAGUAGGGAAUCUUCCGCAAUGGGCGAAAGCCUGACGGAGCAACGCCGCGUGAGUGAUGAAGGUCUUCGGAUCGUAAAACUCUGUUAUUAGGGAAGAACAUAUGUGUAAGUAACUGUGCACAUCUUGACGGUACCUAAUCAGAAAGCCACGGCUAACUACGUGCCAGCAGCCGCGGUAACACGUAGGUGGCAAGCGUUAUCCGGAAUUAUUGGGCGUAAAGCGCGCGUAGGCGGUUUUUUAAGUCUGAUGUGAAAGCCCACGGCUCAACCGUGGAGGGUCAUUGGAAACUGGAAAACUUGAGUGCAGAAGAGGAAAGUGGAAUUCCAUGUGUAGCGGUGAAAUGCGCAGAGAUAUGGAGGAACACCAGUGGCGAAGGCGACU
RNAcentral lists this ribosomal RNA (687 nucleotides) under uncultured Staphylococcus sp. RNAcentral's name for it is "bacterial SSU rRNA". It matches the Rfam family "Bacterial small subunit ribosomal RNA", at positions 57 to 726 of the family's 1533-position model. Lineage: Bacteria; Bacillati; Bacillota; Bacilli; Caryophanales; Staphylococcaceae. The record is from RNAcentral.